GAUGAACGCUGGCGGCGUGCCUAAUACAUGCAAGUCGAGCGAACAGACGAGGAGCUUGCUCCUCUGACGUUAGCGGCGGACGGGUGAGUAACACGUGGAUAACCUACCUAUAAGACUGGGAUAACUUCGGGAAACCGGAGCUAAUACCGGAUAAUAUAUUGAACCGCAUGGUUCAAUAGUGAAAGACGGUUUUGCUGUCCCUUAUAGAUGGAUCCGCGCCGCAUUAGCUAGUUGGUAAGGUAACGGCUUACCAAGGCAACGAUGCGUAGCCGACCUGAGAGGGUGAUCGGCCACACUGGAACUGAGACACGGUCCAGACUCCUACGGGGGGCAGCAGUAGGGAAUCUUCCGCAAUGGGCGAAAGCCUGACGGAGCAACGCCGCGUGAGUGAUGAAGGUCUUCGGAUCGUAAAACUCUGUUAUUAGGGAAGAACAAAUGUGUAAGUAACUAUGCACGUCUUGACGGUACCUAAUCAGAAAGCCACGGCUAACUACGUG
This 497-nucleotide ribosomal RNA is filed under the name uncultured bacterium. RNAcentral's name for it is "partial 16S ribosomal RNA". It matches the Rfam family "Bacterial small subunit ribosomal RNA", at positions 28 to 507 of the family's 1533-position model. The record is from RNAcentral.